UGAACGCUGGCGGCAGGCCUAACACAUGCGAGUCGAGCGGAUGAAGGGAGCUUGCUCCUGGAUUCAGCGGCGGACGGGUGAGUAAUGCCUAGGAAUCUGCCUGGUAGUGGGGGAUAACGUCCGGAAACGGGCGCUAAUACCGCAUACGUCCUGAGGGAGAAAGUGGGGGAUCUUCGGACCUCACGCUAUCAGAUGAGCCUAGGUCGGAUUAGCUAGUUGGUGGGGUAAAGGCCUACCAAGGCGACGAUCCGUAACUGGUCUGAGAGGAUGAUCAGUCACACUGGAACUGAGACACGGUCCAGACUCCUACGGGAGGCAGCAGUGGGGAAUAUUGGACAAUGGGCGAAAGCCUGAUCCAGCCAUGCCGCGUGUGUGAAGAAGGUCUUCGGAUUGUAAAGCACUUUAAGUUGGGAGGAAGGGCAGUAAGUUAAUACCUUGCUGUUUUGACGUUACCAACAGAAUAAGCACCGGCUAACUUCGUG
RNAcentral lists this ribosomal RNA (482 nucleotides) under uncultured bacterium. RNAcentral describes it as "partial 16S ribosomal RNA". It matches the Rfam family "Bacterial small subunit ribosomal RNA", at positions 30 to 507 of the family's 1533-position model. The record is from RNAcentral.